RNAcentral lists this long non-coding RNA (640 nucleotides) under Onthophagus taurus. RNAcentral describes it as "uncharacterized LOC111424170". The record is from RNAcentral. Lineage: Eukaryota; Metazoa; Arthropoda; Insecta; Coleoptera; Scarabaeidae.
CCAUUAAUGUUGUCUAAUCUUUUUUAAUUAGUUCUUCACAGUGGCGAACACUAUUUGCCCACAUCUCCGGAGUGUAAUGACCAAGAGCUUUUUGCCAAGUCUCCUUGACACGACAGAUCUUUUUCUCCGAGCUGGACUGAACAUGUUUAUUGUAAUAAGUUUUUAAGAACGCCCAACAUAGUUCAAUGGGAUUAUAUUGACAAUUGUAUGGAGGAAGGCGAAGAACAGUAUGGCCAUGGUCUCUUAUUAAUUUGUCAAUUUCAAAGGAUUUUUCAAUUUGAGGCUUGUAAUAACGGAUUAUUUCCCAUAACGAUUUUUUAUUUAAGAAACUUGGAGCUUUCUCGAUUUGUUUUGAGUGAUAUGGAGCAUUAUCCAUUACUACCGCACACUUCGCACCCAAAUUAUUUAAUGCUGGAAGUAAUUGAUUUUUCACCCAUUCCAUAAAAAUAAUUGACGUCAUAUUUUUAUGAUAAUCUCUGUGCUCCGUGUUGUCACUGAGCAAGAGAUCGCAAUUUGGCAAAAACCCUGACGAAGUGCAAAAAGAUUGCAAAUCUUUUUCCUUCGCCUUCUGCUCUUUGCGGAAUACCGAAUCUUUCAUUUUCAUUUACCCAUUGAUAAACUUGGGUGCCAUUUUCGUAAA